UAUCUCGUAGACUAAUUGGGUAAGUCAUAAACUUUUGAUGUUUACUAUUAGGUGUUCGAAUCGCCUCGAGAUAA
Molecule: transfer RNA, 74 nt
Filed under: Annulohypoxylon stygium
Lineage: Eukaryota; Fungi; Ascomycota; Sordariomycetes; Xylariales; Hypoxylaceae
Description: tRNA-Gln
Rfam family: tRNA
About the family: Transfer RNA (tRNA) molecules are approximately 80 nucleotides in length.
Source: RNAcentral